RNAcentral lists this ribosomal RNA (390 nucleotides) under uncultured bacterium. RNAcentral describes it as "bacterial SSU rRNA". It matches the Rfam family "Bacterial small subunit ribosomal RNA", at positions 28 to 417 of the family's 1533-position model. The record is from RNAcentral.
GACGAACGCUGGCGGCGUGCUUAACACAUGCAAGUCGAGCGGUAAGGCCCUUUCGGGGGUACGACGAGCGGCGAACGGGUGAGUAACACGUGGGUGACCUGCCCUCAGCUCUGGGAUAAGCCUGGGAAACCGGGUCUAAUACCGGAUAUGACUCCAUGACGCAUGUUGGUGGGGUGGAAAGCCUUGUGCGGCUGAGGAUGGGCCCGCGGCCUAUCAGCUUGUUGGUGGGGUGANGGCCUACCAAGGCGACGACGGGUAGCCGGCCUGAGAGGGCGACCGGCCACACUGGGACUGAGACACGGCCCAGACUCCUACGGGAGGCAGCAGUGGGGAAUCUUGCGCAAUGGGCGAAAGCCUGACGCAGCGACGCCGCGUGAGGGAUGACGGCCU